UUGGAGGGCAAGUCUGGUGCCAGCAGCCGCGGUAAUUCCAGCUCCAAUAGCGUAUAUUAAAGUUGUUGCAGUUAAAAAGCUCGUAGUUGAAUUUCGGGGUUCUACCGUUGGUCGGGCUUUGUCUGUACUGGUGUGUAGAAUUUCUACCUUCUGGGGAACCAUCAUGCUAUUAAUUUAGCGUGGUGGGAAACCAGGACCUUUACCUUGAAAAAAUUAGUGUGUUCAAAGCAGGCUUAUGUCUGAAUACAUUAGCGUGGAAUAAUAGAAUAGGACGGUGGUCCUGUUUUGUUGGUUUCUGAAUCACCGUAAUGAUUAAUAGGGAUAGUUGGGGGCAUUAGUAUUCAAUUGUCAGAGGUGAAAUUCUUGGAUUUAUUGAAGACUAACUUCUGCGAAAGCAUUUGCCAAGGAUGUUUUCAUUAAUCAAGAACGAAAGUUAGGGGAUCGAAGACGAUCAGAUACCGUCGUAGUCUUAACCAUAAACUAUGCCGACUAGGGGUCGGACGAUGUUAAUUUUUCUUGACUCGUUCGGCGCCUUACGGGAAAC
This 544-nucleotide ribosomal RNA is filed under the name uncultured Glomeromycotina. RNAcentral describes it as "SSU rRNA". It matches the Rfam family "Eukaryotic small subunit ribosomal RNA", at positions 548 to 1098 of the family's 1831-position model. The record is from RNAcentral. Lineage: Eukaryota; Fungi; Glomeromycota.